CCGUGCUAGACGGGGAGUUAGCGGUGCCCUGUACCCGAAAACCGCUUAGCGGGGUUUAAAUCCUAUCUUGAGGGUUAAGUCUGACACCUCUAGUUUGGGAAUGGAUAUUGAGAGCUUGGCCCUGCGCGGCAAAGUCCUGCGAACCGCGUCAGAUCUGGAAAGAAGCAGCGCUAAACAGUGUACUUUGAGUGCCGCAGAACAGCCUGGCUUGAGUUCAGACCCUAUAGCUAUGUGAAAGUCACUGAUUCGAUUGAUGGGUGCACGG
RNAcentral lists this signal recognition particle RNA (265 nucleotides) under Chloroflexota bacterium. Its description in RNAcentral is "signal recognition particle sRNA large type". It matches the Rfam family "Bacterial large signal recognition particle RNA". Rfam says of the family: The signal recognition particle (SRP) is a universally conserved ribonucleoprotein involved in the co-translational targeting of proteins to membranes. Archaeal SRP consists of a 7S RNA and homologues of the eukaryotic SRP19 and SRP54 proteins. In most bacteria, the SRP consists of a 4.5S RNA and the Ffh protein (a homologue of the eukaryotic SRP54 protein). Lineage: Bacteria; Bacillati; Chloroflexota. The record is from RNAcentral.